RNAcentral lists this ribosomal RNA (254 nucleotides) under uncultured bacterium. RNAcentral describes it as "partial 16S ribosomal RNA". It matches the Rfam family "Bacterial small subunit ribosomal RNA", at positions 524 to 776 of the family's 1533-position model. The record is from RNAcentral.
UACGGAGGAUGCAAGCGUUAUCCGGAAUCAUUGGGCGUAAAGCGUCCGUAGGUGGCGUUUCAAGUCUGCGGUCAAAGCACAAGGCUUAACCUUGUAAAGGCCGUGGAAACUGAAAAAGCUAGAGUGCGGUAGGGGUAGAGGGAAUUCCGGGUGUAGCGGUGAAAUGCGUAGAUAUCCGGAGGAACACCGGUGGCGAAGGCGGCUUCCUGGACCGACACUGACGCUGAGGCGCGAAAGCUAGGGGAGCAAACGGG